UGGGGAAUAUUGCGCAAUGGACGAAAGUCUGACGCAGCGACGCCGCGUGAGGGAUGAAGGUUUUCGGAUCGUAAACCUCUGUCAGAAGGGAAGAAAGCGCGGGAUGCCAAUCAGUUUCGCGUUGACGGUACCUUCAAAGGAAGCGCCGGCUAACUCCGUGCCAGCAGCCGCGGUAAUACGGAGGGCGCACGCGUUAAUCGGAAUUACUGGGCGUAAAGCGCGCGUAGGCUGUUGUGUAAGUCAGGGGUGAAAGCCCGCGGCUCAACCGCGGAAUUGCCUUUGAUACUGCGCGACUUGAAUCCGGGAGAGGGUGGCGGAAUUCCAGGUGUAGGAGUGAAAUCCGUAGAUAUCUGGAGGAACACCAGUGGCGAAGGCGGCCACCUGGACCGGUAUUGACGCUGAGGUGCGAAAGCGUGGGGAGCAAACAGG
Molecule: ribosomal RNA, 429 nt
Filed under: uncultured bacterium
Lineage: Bacteria
Description: bacterial SSU rRNA
Rfam family: Bacterial small subunit ribosomal RNA
Source: RNAcentral